RNAcentral lists this ribosomal RNA (434 nucleotides) under uncultured bacterium. RNAcentral's name for it is "bacterial SSU rRNA". It matches the Rfam family "Bacterial small subunit ribosomal RNA", at positions 355 to 786 of the family's 1533-position model. The record is from RNAcentral.
UGAGGAAUAUUGGUCAAUGGACGAGAGUCUGAACCAGCCAAGUAGCGUGAAGGAUGACUGCCCUAUGGGUUGUAAACUUCUUUUAUACGGGAAUAAAGUUUGCCACGUGUGGCAUUUUGUAUGUACCGUAUGAAUAAGGAUCGGCUAACUCCGUGCCAGCAGCCGCGGUAAUACGGAGGAUCCGAGCGUUAUCCGGAUUUAUUGGGUUUAAAGGGAGCGUAGGCGGAAGCUUAAGUCAGUUGUGAAAGUUUGCGGCUUAACCGUAAAAUUGCAGUUGAUACUGGGUUUCUUGAGUGCAGCAGAGGUAGGCGGAAUUCGUGGUGUAGCGGUGAAAUGCUUAGAUAUCACGAAGAACUCCGAUUGCGAAGGCAGCUUACUGGACUGUAACUGACGCUGAUGCUCGAAAGUGUGGGUAUCAAACAGGAUUAGAUACC